RNAcentral lists this ribosomal RNA (856 nucleotides) under uncultured bacterium. RNAcentral describes it as "bacterial SSU rRNA". It matches the Rfam family "Bacterial small subunit ribosomal RNA", at positions 60 to 914 of the family's 1533-position model. The record is from RNAcentral.
AGUCGAACGGCAGCGCGGGGCAACCUGGCGGCGAGUGGCGAACGGGUGAGUAAUAUAUCGGAACGUACCCAAGAGUGGGGGAUAACGUAGCGAAAGUUACGCUAAUACCGCAUACGAUCUAUGGAUGAAAGUGGGGGAUCGCAAGACCUCAUGCUCCUGGAGCGGCCGAUAUCUGAUUAGCUAGUUGGUGAGGUAAAGGCUCACCAAGGCGACGAUCAGUAGCUGGUCUGAGAGGACGACCAGCCACACUGGAACUGAGACACGGUCCAGACUCCUACGGGAGGCAGCAGUGGGGAAUUUUGGACAAUGGGCGCAAGCCUGAUCCAGCAAUGCCGCGUGAGUGAAGAAGGCCUUCGGGUUGUAAAGCUCUUUUGUCAGGGAAGAAACGGUUGGGGCUAAUAUCCCCGGCUAAUGACGGUACCUGAAGAAUAAGCACCGGCUAACUACGUGCCAGCAGCCGCGGUAAUACGUAGGGUGCAAGCGUUAAUCGGAAUUACUGGGCGUAAAGCGUGCGCAGGCGGUUUUGUAAGUCUGUCGUGAAAGCCCCGGGCUCAACCUGGGAAUUGCGAUGGAGACUGCAAGGCUUGAAUCUGGCAGAGGGGGGUAGAAUUCCACGUGUAGCAGUGAAAUGCGUAGAGAUGUGGAGGAACACCGAUGGCGAAGGCAGCCCCCUGGGUCAAGAUUGACGCUCAUGCACGAAAGCGUGGGGAGCAAACAGGAUUAGAUACCCUGGUAGUCCACGUCCUAAACGAUGUCUACUAGUUGUCGGGUCUUAAUUGACUUGGUAACGCAGCUAACGCGUGAAGUAGACCGCCUGGGGAGUACGGUCGCAAGAUUAAAACUCAAAGGAAUUGAC